GAUGAACGCUGGCGGCGUGCCUAAUACAUGCAAGUCGAGCGAACAGACGAGAAGCUUGCUCCUCUGACGUUAGCGGCGGACGGGUGAGUAACACGUGGAUAACCUACCUAUAAGACUGGGAUAACUUCGGGAAACCGGAGCUAAUACCGGAUAAUAUAUUGAACCGCAUGGUUCAAUAGUGAAAGACGGUUUUGCUGUCACUUAUAGAUGGAUCCGCGCCGCAUUAGCUAGUUGGUAAGGUAACGGCUUACCAAGGCAACGAUGCGUAGCCGACCUGAGAGGGUGAUCGGCCAAACUGGAACUGAGACACGGUCCAGACUCCUACGGGAGGCAGCAGUAGGGAAUCUUCCGCAAUGGGCGAAAGCCUGACGGAGCAACGCCGCGUGAGUGAUGAAGGUCUUCGGAUCGUAAAACUCUGUUAUUAGGGAAGAACAAAUGUGUAAGUAACUAUGCACGUCUUGACGGUACCUAAUCAGAAAGCCACGGCUAACUACGU
RNAcentral lists this ribosomal RNA (496 nucleotides) under uncultured bacterium. RNAcentral describes it as "partial 16S ribosomal RNA". It matches the Rfam family "Bacterial small subunit ribosomal RNA", at positions 28 to 506 of the family's 1533-position model. The record is from RNAcentral.